GACGGAGGAUGCAAGUGUUAUCCGGAAUCACUGGGCGUAAAGCGUCUGCAGGUGGUCAAAUAAGUCAACUGUUAAAUCUUGAGGCUCAACCUCAAAAUCGCAGUCGAAACUAUUCGACUAGAGUAUAGUAGGGGUAAAGGGAAUUUCCAGUGGAGCGGUGAAAUGCGUAGAGAUUGGAAAGAACACCGAUGGCGAAGGCACUUUACUGGGCUAUUACUAACACUGAGAGACGAAAGCUAGGGUAGCAAAUGGG
This 253-nucleotide ribosomal RNA is filed under the name uncultured bacterium. RNAcentral describes it as "partial 16S ribosomal RNA". It matches the Rfam family "Bacterial small subunit ribosomal RNA", at positions 524 to 776 of the family's 1533-position model. The record is from RNAcentral.